This 317-nucleotide ribosomal RNA is filed under the name uncultured soil bacterium. RNAcentral's name for it is "bacterial SSU rRNA". It matches the Rfam family "Bacterial small subunit ribosomal RNA", at positions 26 to 358 of the family's 1533-position model. The record is from RNAcentral.
AGAACGAACGCUGGCGGCAUGCCUAAUACAUGCAAGUCGAACGAAGGCUUCGGCCUUAGUGGCGCACGGGUGCGUAACGCGUGGGAAUCUGCCCCUUGGUUCGGAAUAACAGUUGGAAACGACUGCUAAUACCGGAUGAUGACGAAAGUCCAAAGAUUUAUCGCCAAGGGAUGAGCCCGCGUAGGAUUAGCUAGUUGGUGGGUAAAGGCUACGACCAAGGCGACGAUCCGUUAGCUGGUCUGAGAGGAUGAUCAGCCACACGUGGGACUGGAGACGACGGACCCAGACUCCGUACGGGACGGCGAAGCCAAGGUAGG